This 3070-nucleotide ribosomal RNA is filed under the name Centipeda timonae. RNAcentral's name for it is "Selenomonas sp. Marseille-Q3039 23S ribosomal RNA". It matches the Rfam family "Bacterial large subunit ribosomal RNA". The record is from RNAcentral. Lineage: Bacteria; Bacillati; Bacillota; Negativicutes; Selenomonadales; Selenomonadaceae.
AGUCAAGUUUAUAAGGGCAUACGGCGGAUGCCUAGGCGUUUCGAAACGAAGAAGGACGCGAUAAGCUGCGAUAAGCCAUGACGAGCUGCAAGUAAGCCUUGACUCAUGGAUUUCCGAAUGGGGCAACCCGGCGGGAGUAACGUCCCGUCACUCUGCACUUGAUGCAGAGAGAAAACACCCGAUGAACUGAAACAUCUAAGUAGUCGGAGGAAAAGAAAUCAAAGAGAUUCCCUGAGUAGCGGCGAGCGAAACGGGAGGAGCCCAAACCAAGAGACUUCGGUUUCUUGGGGUUGCGGACCUGCAACAAACCGGACACUUUAGUGGAAGCAUCUGGGAAGGUGCGGCAAAGAGAGUGAGACCCUCGUACACGAAAGAGUGAAAAGCGGGCAGGGAUCCAGAGUACCACAGGGCACGAGGAACCCAGUGGGAAGCAGGGUGGACCACCAUCCAAGGCUAAAUACAUCGAAACGACCGAUAGCGAAAAGUACCGUGAGGGAAAGGUGAAAAGAACCCCGGGAGGGGAGUGCAAUAGAACCUGAAACCGUAUGUCUACAAACAGUCGGAGCACUUUACAUGUGCGACGGCGUGCCUAUUGAAGAAUGAACCGGCGAGUUAAUUUAUGCUGCGAGGUUAAGCGGGAGACGCGGAGCCGAAGCGAAAGCGAGUCUUAAGAGGGCGAAAAGUAGCAUGGAUUAGACCCGAAACCACAGUGAUCUAUACAUGUCCAGGUUGAAGCUCAGGUAAAAAUGAGUGGAGGACCGAACCCGUGCAUGUUGAAAAAUGUUGGGAUGAGAUGUGUAUAGGGGUGAAAUGCCAAUCGAACGUGGAGAUAGCUGGUUCUCCCCGAAAUAGCUUUAGGGCUAGCCUCAGGCGAAUAACCAUAGAGACGGUAGAGCACUGAUCGGGCAAGGGGGCGUAAAGCCUACCGACCCCAGUCAAACUACGAAUGGCUCAUAUGGGCAGCCUGGGAGUCAGAAUGCGAGUGAUAAGACCCGUAUUCAAGAGGGAAACAGCCCAGACCGCCGGCUAAGGUCCCAAAUGCUGUGCUAAGUGGAGAAGGAUGUAGGACUUCGAAAACAACCAGGAUGUUGGCUCAGAAGCAGCCACCAUUAAAAGAGUGCGUAAUAGCUCACUGGUCGAGAGGCCCUGCGCCGAAAAUAUCCGGGGCUAAAGCACAGAACCGAAGCUGCGGCAGGGUGUACAUAUCUACAGAGCGUUCAAAGCGCAGGAAAAAUUGGUAUCUGCAAGGAAACCGAGAGCGGCGUAGUAGAGCUACGUCAAACGAGGUUGACACAGCAGAGAGCAAUUUUAACAAGCUUUUUGAGCGUUGUGCUGAUGUGUACACACUGGGUAGGGGAGCGUUCUUAUCUGGACGAAGGCAGACCGGAAGGACUGCUGGACGGAUAAGAAGUGAGAAUGCCGGUAUGAGUAGCGAAACGACAGGUGAGAAUCCUGUCCACCGAAAGCCUAAGGUAUCCCGGGCAACGCUCGUCGUCCCGGGGUUAGUCGGGACCUAAGCCGAGGCGAAAAGCAUAGGCGAUGGACAACUGGCGAAAAUUCCAGUACCGGGCGUCUUCGUUUGAGGAUGGAGUGACGCAGGAAGGAAGCUGAGCGUGCGAAUGGUUGGGCGCGUCGAAGGCGGUAGGCUUGUAUGGAGGCAAAUCCCCAUACUAUAAGGCCGAGAACCGAUAGAUAGGAAAGACUACGGUCAAUCUGAAUUCAGCUGCACUACACUGCCAAGAAAAGCUUCUAACGAGAAGACGUCCGCCCGUACCAAAACCGACACAGGUAGGCGGGGAGAGAAUCCUAAGGUGCGCGGGAAAACCCUCGUUAAGGAACUCGGCAAAAUGCAUCCGUAACUUCGGGAAAAGGAUGGCCGAUGGUGGUGAAGUCUUUUACAGAUGGAGCUGUUGUCGGCGGCAGAAAAGAGGCCCAAGCGACUGUUUACCACAAACACAGGUGCCUGCGAAAGCGCAAGCUGAAGUAUAGGUGCUGACGCCUGCCCGGUGCAGGAAGGUUAAGGAGAGUUGUUAGCCCCUGAGGUGAAGCAGCGAACUGAAGCCCCUGUAAACGGCGGCCGUAACUAUAACGGUCCUAAGGUAGCGAAAUUCCUUGUCGGGUAAGUUCCGACCCGCACGAAAGGCGUAACGAUUUGGGCACUGUCUCAACGAGGGACCCGGUGAAAUUGAAAUACCUGUGAAGAUGCAGGUUACCCGCGACUGGACAGAAAGACCCCAUGGAGCUUUACUGCAGCUUGGCAUUGGUCUUUGGCAUAUAACGUACAGGAUAGCCGGGAGACUGGGAGACCUACUCGCUAGAGUAGGAGGAGUCACCGUUGGGAUACCGGCCUUUAUAUGCUAAGGAUCUAACCGGGACAUUAACCGUGUUCGGGACAGUACCAGGCGGGCAGUUUGACUGGGGCGGUCGCCUCCGAAAGAGCAACGGAGGCGUCCAAAGGUUCCCUCAGCGCGGACAGAAAUCGCGCGAAGAGCAUAAAGGCAGAAGGGAGCUUGACUGCGAGACUGACGGGUCGAGCAGGUACGAAAGUAGGGCUUAGUGAUCCGGUGGAAAGAGAGUGGAAUUGCCAUCGCUCAACGGAUAAAAGCUACCCUGGGGAUAACAGGCUAAUCUCUCCCAAGAGUCCAUAUCGACGGGGAGGUUUGGCACCUCGAUGUCGGCUCAUCACAUCCUGGGGCUGAAGCAGGUCCCAAGGGUUGGGCUGUUCGCCCAUUAAAGUGGUACGUGAGCUGGGUUCAGAACGUCGUGAGACAGUUCGGUCCAUAUCCAUCGCGGGCGCAAGAUACAUGAGGGAGGCUGCUCCUAGUACGAGAGGACCGGAGUGGACGGACCAACGGUGUACCGGUUGUCCUGCCAAGGGCACGGCCGGGUAGCUGCGUCCGGAAGGGAUAAACGCUGAAAGCAUCUAAGCGUGAAGCCCGUCCCGAGAUGAAGUAUCUCAUUCCUAUAAGGAAGUAAGACCCCUUGAAGAAGACAAGGUAGAUAGGCUGGGUGUGGAAGCACAGUAAUGUGUGUAGCUGACCAGCACUAAUCGGUCGAGGGCUUGACUUAA